GACGAACGCUGGCGGCGUGCCUAAUACAUGCAAGUUGAGCGAUGAAGAUUGGUGCUUGCACCAAUUUGAAGAGCAGCGAACGGGUGAGUAACGCGUGGGGAAUCUGCCUUUGAGCGGGGGACAACAUUUGGAAACGAAUGCUAAUACCGCAUAACAACUUUAAACAUAAGUUUUAAGUUUGAAAGAUGCAAUUGCAUCACUCAAAGAUGAUCCCGCGUUGUAUUAGCUAGUUGGUGAGGUAAAGGCUCACCAAGGCGAUGAUACAUAGCCGACCUGAGAGGGUGAUCGGCCACAUUGGGACUGAGACACGGCCCAAACUCCUACGGGAGGCAGCAGUAGGGAAUCUUCGGCAAUGGACGAAGGUCUGACCGAGCAACGCCGAGUGAGUGAAGAAGGUUUUCGGAUCGUAAAACUCUGUUGGUAGAGAAGAACGUUGGUGAGAGUGGAAAGCUCAUCAAGUGACGGUAACUACCCAGAAAGGGACGGCUAACUACGUG
Molecule: ribosomal RNA, 497 nt
Filed under: uncultured bacterium
Lineage: Bacteria
Description: partial 16S ribosomal RNA
Rfam family: Bacterial small subunit ribosomal RNA
Source: RNAcentral